GAUGAACGCUAGCGGCAGGCCUAACACAUGCAAGUCGAGGGGGAGGUUACUUUCGGGUAACUGAGACCGGCGUACGGGUGCGUAACGCGUAUACAAUCUGCCUUUCACUGGGGGAUAGCCCGAAGAAAUUUGGAUUAAUACCCCAUAGUAUAGUAAUACGGCAUCGUGAUGCUAUUAAAGCUUAGGUGGUGAAAGAUGAGUAUGCGUUCUAUUAGCUAGUUGGAGAGGUAACGGCUCCCCAAGGCGAUGAUAGAUAGGGGUUCUGAGAGGGAUGUCCCCCACACUGGUACUGAGAUACGGACCAGACUCCUACGGGAGGCAGCAGUGAGGAAUAUUAGACAAUGGUCGGAAGACUGAUCCAGCCAUGCCGCGUGCAGGAUGAAGGUCUUAUGGAUUGUAAACUGCUUUUGUAAGGGAAGAAUAAGGGCUACGCGUAGUUUGAUGACGGUACCUUACGAAUAAGCAUCGGCUAACUCCGUG
RNAcentral lists this ribosomal RNA (480 nucleotides) under uncultured bacterium. Its description in RNAcentral is "partial 16S ribosomal RNA". It matches the Rfam family "Bacterial small subunit ribosomal RNA", at positions 28 to 507 of the family's 1533-position model. The record is from RNAcentral.